This 800-nucleotide ribosomal RNA is filed under the name Arthrobacter sp. RNAcentral describes it as "bacterial SSU rRNA". It matches the Rfam family "Bacterial small subunit ribosomal RNA", at positions 659 to 1453 of the family's 1533-position model. The record is from RNAcentral. Lineage: Bacteria; Bacillati; Actinomycetota; Actinomycetes; Micrococcales; Micrococcaceae.
GACUGGAAUUCCUGGUGUACCGGUGAAAUGCGCAGAUAUCAGGAGGAACACCGAUGGCGAAGGCAGGUCUCUGGGCUGUAACUGACGCUGAGGAGCGAAAGCAUGGGGAGCGAACAGGAUUAGAUACCCUGGUAGUCCAUGCCGUAAACGUUGGGCACUAGGUGUGGGGGACAUUCCACGUUUUCCGCGCCGUAGCUAACGCAUUAAGUGCCCCGCCUGGGGAGUACGGCCGCAAGGCUAAAACUCAAAGGAAUUGACGGGGGCCCGCACAAGCGGCGGAGCAUGCGGAUUAAUUCGAUGCAACGCGAAGAACCUUACCAAGGCUUGACAUGAACCGGAAUGAUGCAGAGAUGUGUCAGCCACUUGUGGCCGGUUUACAGGUGGUGCAUGGUUGUCGUCAGCUCGUGUCGUGAGAUGUUGGGUUAAGUCCCGCAACGAGCGCAACCCUCGUUCCAUGUUGCCAGCGGGUUAUGCCGGGGACUCAUGGGAGACUGCCGGGGUCAACUCGGAGGAAGGUGGGGACGACGUCAAAUCAUCAUGCCCCUUAUGUCUUGGGCUUCACGCAUGCUACAAUGGCCGGUACAAAGGGUUGCGAUACUGUGAGGUGGAGCUAAUCCCAAAAAGCCGGUCUCAGUUCGGAUUGAGGUCUGCAACUCGACCUCAUGAAGUUGGAGUCGCUAGUAAUCGCAGAUCAGCAACGCUGCGGUGAAUACGUUCCCGGGCCUUGUACACACCGCCCGUCAAGUCACGAAAGUUGGUAACACCCGAAGCCGGUGGCCUAACCCCUUGUGGGAGGGAGC